This 465-nucleotide ribosomal RNA is filed under the name uncultured bacterium. RNAcentral describes it as "partial 16S ribosomal RNA". It matches the Rfam family "Bacterial small subunit ribosomal RNA", at positions 28 to 507 of the family's 1533-position model. The record is from RNAcentral.
GACGAACGCUGGCGGCGUGCUUAACACAUGCAAGUCGAACGGAAAGGCCCUGCUUGCCGGGUACUCGAGUGGCGAACGGGUGAGUAACACGUGGGUGAUCUGCCCUGCACUUCGGGAUAAGCCUGGGAAACUGGGUCUAAUACCGGAUAGGAGCCAUUUUUAGUGUGAUGGUUGGAAAGUUUUUUCGGUGUAGGAUGAGCUCGCGGCCUAUCAGCUUGUUGGUGGGGUAAUGGCCUACCAAGGCGGCGACGGGUAGCCGGCCUGAGAGGGUGGACGGCCACAUUGGGACUGAGAUACGGCCCAGACUCCUACGGGAGGCAGCAGUGGGGAAUAUUGCACAAUGGGCGCAAGCCUGAUGCAGCGACGCCGCGUGGGGGAUGACGGCCUUCGGGUUGUAAACUCCUUUCGCUAGGGACGAAGCUUUUUGUGAUGGUACCUAGAUAAGAAGCACCGGCUAACUACGUG